GGGGCCGCUGAUAAUCACCCUCACUAAGGGACAUGCUCCGUGCGGGUUUAAAGAGAAUCUCCCCUUACCGGCUGAACUUAGGCAUAUCAAUAAGCGGGAGGAAAAGAAACUAACAAGGAUUCCCCUAGUAACUGCGAGUGAAGCGGGAAAAGCUGAAAUUUAAAAUCUGGCGGUCUUUGGCCGUACGAGUUGUAAUUUAGAGAAGCGUCUUCCGCGCUGGACCGUGCACAACUCUCCUGGAAUGGAGCGUCAUAGAGGGUGAGAAUCCCGUCUUUGGCACGGAUGCCCGGUGCUUCUGUGAUGCGCUCUCGAAGAGUCGAGUUGUUUGGGAAUGCAGCUCAAAAUGGGUGGUGAACUCCAUCUAAAGCUAAAUAUUGGCGAGAGACCGAUAGCAAACAAGUACCGUGAGGGAAAGAUGAAAAGCACUUUGGAAAGAGAGUGAAACAGUACGUGAAAUUGUUGAAAGGGAAACGCUUGAAGUCAGUCGCGGCGACGGAGGCUCAGCCUCGCCUUGGCUUGGUGCACUUCUCGGCCCGACGCGUCAGCAUCAAUUUUGCCCCUCGGAUAAUGGCAACGGAAAGGUGCCACCUUUACGGGUGUGUGAUAUUCUCCUGUGGCACCCGAGGGGGGGGAUUGAGGACCUCAGUGUGCUCCUGCCUGCCGGGGCUGCGGCUCACGUCACGCGCUUAGGAUGCUGGCGUAAUGGCUUUAAAACAACCCCUCUUGGAACACGGG
RNAcentral lists this ribosomal RNA (735 nucleotides) under uncultured fungus. RNAcentral's name for it is "eukaryotic LSU rRNA". It matches the Rfam family "Eukaryotic large subunit ribosomal RNA", at positions 1 to 665 of the family's 3401-position model. The record is from RNAcentral. Lineage: Eukaryota; Fungi.